AAAUCGAUUGCUACCCACCGAUCCAGCAGGUAGUGAAGACGUACCCUGACUCUGCUGUGUCACUACUGAGUGGGAAGUACCUCUCUCUCCAUUUACAAGGCUUGCCGUGGAGAAAAGGGCCUUGCACCGUCACAGAACAGUUAGUCGGAGGCAGUUUUCUCGCACACUCUCCUGUUGAAGAGCACUGAGAAAGUCUUCCAGUUUGAUAAGAGUGAGAAACUUAGGAUGUACAGAAGAAGCAGGAGAUAAGGCUGUCAGUCAUCGUUAGAGAGCAAUAAGAGUGAUAAAUAAAAAGACCUGCUGAAAUACCAUCUAGCAGAAGAACACCACCAGAAAGAACUAUACUACAAACAAAACAGAAAAGGAGAUUUCUCAAUGAGGAAGCAAAAUUUCAGUCAGAAGGAUGCUUGUGGGAAUCAAAACAGGUC
Long non-coding RNA from Mauremys reevesii (Reeves's turtle), 428 nucleotides. RefSeq lists it as uncharacterized. The record is from RefSeq and is a predicted model, not a curated record. NCBI's taxonomy places the organism in Eukaryota, Metazoa, Chordata, Testudines, Geoemydidae. The transcript is spliced from 4 exons.